GAUUUAUCCAUUUAUGCUAUUAGUAAAUUUUAAUUAAUUUAAAUUAAUUAAAUAAAACCAGCAUAAUUACCAGUUAUGUAGAUAUUCUCAUCAGAUGAGUAGAUAGUCCAAGGAACUUGAUUGGUUAUAUGGAGGUGCGUGAGUGAUAGAGAAAAGUGGUGUUGGUUAGAAAGUAUCAGUAAAUUUUAAGUGUCAAGGAGUUUAAAAGAGUUGAGUGUCCAAGAGUUUGAGUAGAGUGUUAGUCCCAGAGAAUUUUUCAUGAGUCUCUCCCUCUGCAUGUCCGAAUCGGAAUUCCCCAAACUUCACCUCGUCUCUCUACCAACUAACUUCUCUUCCCUUUGUCCUAACUUUUAAAGGGCCAGACUCUCUGUACGUCAUUAGUUGAUAAACCAAUAGGAAACCGUAGAUGUGUUCAAUCUAUGGAUCGAAAUUUAGGUAUUUG
This is a non-coding RNA of Pelobates cultripes (western spadefoot toad), 442 nucleotides long. Lineage: Eukaryota; Metazoa; Chordata; Amphibia; Anura; Pelobatidae. The record is from the annotation of a GenBank genome assembly.